CCUACGGGAGGCAGCAGUAGGGAAUCUUUCACAAUGGGCGAAAGCCUGAUGGAGCAACGCCGCGUGCAGGAUGAAGGCCUUCGGGUUGUAAACUGCUUUUAUAAGCGAGAAAUAUGAUGGUAACUUAUGAAUAAGGAUCGGCUAACAACUUGCCAGCAGCCGCGGUCAUACGUAGGAUCCGAGCAUUAUCCGGGGUGACUGGGUGUAAAGAGUUGCGUAGGUGGCGUAAUAAGUAGCUAGUGAAAUCUGGUGGGUCAACCAUUCAGACUAUUAGCUAAACUGUUAAGCUCGAGACCGUGAGGGGUAACUGGAAUUUCUAGUGUAGGAGUGAAAUCCGUAGAUAUUAGAAAGAACACCGAUAGCGUAGGCAGGUUACUGGGACGGUUCUGACACUAAGGCACGAAAGCGUAGGGAGCAAACGGGAUUAGAUACCCGGGUAGUC
Molecule: ribosomal RNA, 442 nt
Filed under: uncultured bacterium
Lineage: Bacteria
Description: partial 16S ribosomal RNA
Rfam family: Bacterial small subunit ribosomal RNA
Source: RNAcentral